RNAcentral lists this ribosomal RNA (245 nucleotides) under uncultured bacterium. Its description in RNAcentral is "partial 16S ribosomal RNA". It matches the Rfam family "Bacterial small subunit ribosomal RNA", at positions 524 to 768 of the family's 1533-position model. The record is from RNAcentral.
UACGUAGGGGGCAAGCGUUACUCGGAUUCAUUGGGCGUAAAGCGAAUGUAGGCGGUCAAAUAAGUCAGAUGUGAAAUACCUCGGCUUAACCGAGGAAGUGCGUUUGAUACUGUUUGGCUUGAGGACAGGAGAGGGAAGUGGAAUUCCCGGUGUAGCGGUGGAAUGCGUAGAUAUCGGGAGGAACACCAGAGGCGAAGGCGGCUUCCUGGACUGUGCCUGACGCUGAGAUUCGAAAGCUAGGGGAG